RNAcentral lists this ribosomal RNA (244 nucleotides) under uncultured Lactobacillus sp. RNAcentral describes it as "partial 16S ribosomal RNA". It matches the Rfam family "Bacterial small subunit ribosomal RNA", at positions 118 to 354 of the family's 1533-position model. Lineage: Bacteria; Bacillati; Bacillota; Bacilli; Lactobacillales; Lactobacillaceae. The record is from RNAcentral.
UGGGUAACCUGCCCAAGAGAUCGGGAUAACACCUGGAAACGGGUGCUAAUACCGGAUAACAACAGAUGAUGCCUAUCAACUGUUUAAAAGAUGGUUCUGCUAUCACUCUUGGAUGGACCUGCGGUGCAUUAGCUAGUUGGUAGGGUAACGGCCUACCAAGGCGAUGAUGCAUAGCCGAGUUGAGAGACUGAUCGGCCACAUUGGGACUGAGACACGGCCCAAACUCCUACGGGAGGCAGCAGGC